Molecule: RNA transcript, 2802 nt
Organism: Triticum dicoccoides
Lineage: Eukaryota; Viridiplantae; Streptophyta; Magnoliopsida; Poales; Poaceae
Exons: 7
Source: RefSeq, a predicted model, not a curated record
CACCUAUCGUCCCACUCGAUUUUCUUUCCCCCCCUACCGGUUUUCUCCCUCACAGUUUUCUCCCUCCUCUGGCUUGCAUCUCACGCCGGCAUCCAGCGCCACCGAUGCCGAUCUCCAGCCUUUGUCCGGCCCAUGGAUCCCGAUGUGGAGCUCCACUGCGGCCCGAUCUGACGUGGGAGCGGCCAGAUCCGUGCGUCUCCGCCUCGCUCCGCGCGCCUCCAUGGUCCGCCGUCUUCUCGAGCGCCGGUGCCGCGCUCAGCCGCCGCCGUCCCAUGCCAUGGUUGCCUCCCUCCAGAACGACCUGCCAUGGCCGCCUCCCUGCCUCUCCCGCAAGUGGGCCUCUGCACGACCAGAUCCGUUCCUCUGCGCCUCGCUCCGCGCGCCAUGAUGGUCCUCCGUCUUCCCGAGCGCCGGCGCCGUGCGCAGCCGCCGCCGCCCCAUGCCAUGGUCGCCUUCCUCCAGAAUGCCGUGCCAUGGCCGCCUCCCUGCCUCUCCCGCAAGUGGGCCUCUGCGCCCCCGGCCUAGCAGAUUAAUGGAGGGCGCUGCCGACGUCGGGACAUGCCUCGGUUCACCUGCUUCCUGAUGUCCAAUUAUUUUUUGUUGUUGCUAUAUUCAACCUCAUCUCUGAAAGCCUACACCUUCCUGUGCUGUUGCUAUAUUCACGAGUUUGACAGGAGAAGGGACUGGAGGCAUACAGUAGGCAGAACAGUGGAACAAAACUCAGCUUCAAUUAAUCGACAUGGUGUUCGCAAAUGGAAAGUCGUUCCUGCUGCUACGGUUCAUUGGUUCAAGUCCGACAUUGAGCUCACAAUGGACGUUGAGUUGGUGGACACAAUGGACAAUAAGCCCAUGAAGCUCCAGAAGUCCAGAUUUGGAUACGGUAUUUCCCUUUCUAUCUAAAAUCUACCAUAGAAAUUUGUACUAGCUGCAUAUACAUCAAAAGAGGUGGCACACUUGAAACUACUUCAGGAACAGUUUAGUUGUCAAAGGCAAAUAACCAUCUUUAGUGGUCGUUACAUUAAACCUAGGACGAGAUGCAUAUAGAGUUCUGUUAUGGCUACUACGAUACAGAUGUCAACGCAAAGUAUUUCCUGUUUUCUAUGAAAAGGUUUACAUUAUAAGGAUAAUCGAGUAUAAUAAUAUGGAUGAAAAUAUUGCUCUCCUGCUAGGUCUUAGAAGUUAGAAUCCACAAAGUUAGGUUAAUUAUAGUAAUUAUGACCCCACUUAUGCCUUCUCUUUACGCAUUAAGAUGUGUCGCUCCUUUAAAAAAAUAAGAUGUUGAUUCUUGUGUUUUGAAGUCUUGGAUGUGACUAAUUGUAUGACAUGCCGAUAUCUGGCGAGCCUGGUGUGUUCUGUUUUCUCACACCCGCCGCCGUCGUACAAGGUGAUUGUUGGACGUGAGCGAGCUUCAGGAGCACUUCCUACAGGUUGUCGGCCGUUCACAAGUACUUCCUUUCAAGCCGAAUGGGCUCUUUAGUAAGAUGCAUCAUCUUUUUUGAAUGGAACAAGAUUGACCAUAUUGUUUGAAGUGAAAAAGAUUCAUUAUGAUCUACCCAUUACUUGAUUUGAAGUUUUCAACUGCUAGAUGUAGGAGGAGGCAGUAGUGGCUGGAAUCUUGGUGCUAAAUGACACAUACUGUCCUCACCCGAUUUCUAAGAGGAAAAAAAAACCCAAAGAACAAAUACUCAUUCAAACAUUUUUUGAUUCAGUGCUCCAUGAGCAUUUUAUCUAUCAUUUGUUUUAAAAUUUUGAGUUUUCAGGUCUAAAAUGGUUCAUCCCCUUUUGUGGUUGCAGUUUUACUGAUCUGGACACACCACCUUCUCUGGUCUAAAAUUUUGAGUUUUCAGGUCUAAAAUGUAACUGAUGUAAAGAUUUGUCCAUCCCUUGACAGAAUCCGACUUUUUUUCCAGCUGGUGCACUGAGGGAGGCGUUUGAUGUAGCAACUGCCUUUAAAAAACAAUGCCAUGAUUGAUUCAUUCCCCACUGGUAUAUUCAAAGUUCUAGGUCUAUACAUCAAUACAUUAUGUUCGUCCAGCGGAGGAUGCUCUUCAGUGGAAAAUUCUGAAACCUUAUUCAGCUUUGAUGAAUGAAGAGCUCAAGGGAGCAAAAGGAACAAGGAGAAAGGAGUGCUCAAGAGAAGUGAACUCAAAGUCCAAGAUGCAAUCUUCACAUAGCUCACAAAUAUUAACCAGUAAACACUACUUGAUUCGUGAUGGCAUUGGACCAGACACACAACAUCCAGUUCUAUAAUAAGUAUAUUCGUGAUUGCAUUGGACCAGACACACGGAGAUGCUCGCUUGUCGUCGAGGAGUGUAGCUUGUGAUCGAAGUUGGCGCUACAAAGCUUGUUCUCAAAACCGACAACCAACUUAUGGCGCAGGUUAUUAACUCAGAUGUUAUCGACCGAUCCAGGUUUGGUCCUCUUGUCUAGGAGAUAAAGAAGAUGAUGUGAGGCAUCGACGAGUUCUGAGUGGCUUGGGCCAGGAGAAUAGCAAACAAAGCUGCUCAGAUCUUAGCUAGGGAGGGUUGCCUUUUAAUGCAAAACUUGGUUUAGUGUUUCUACAGAUUGUAUUCAAGAUGUUGUACUGGCGGAUAAUGCCAUGAACUAAAUAAUAACAAGGCAUCAAUUUCCUUUAAAAAGUAUGUUAUCUUAUAGCAGGUGCAUCGUAUCAAAGAUACAUAUUUCAUGCAAUUAAUGUUGAACCACUAGAAUACUUAUGUUCCCGUUGCAACGCACGGGCAAUUUCCUAGUUUCUUAAAACUUGUAGGGGCCAGAAAAAUGUAUUGAAGAUCAUGACGCUCA